This 751-nucleotide ribosomal RNA is filed under the name uncultured bacterium. RNAcentral describes it as "bacterial SSU rRNA". It matches the Rfam family "Bacterial small subunit ribosomal RNA", at positions 33 to 773 of the family's 1533-position model. The record is from RNAcentral.
ACGCUGGCGGCAGGCCUAACACAUGCAAGUCGAGCGGUAGCACAGGAGAGCUUGCUCUCUGGGUGACGAGCGGCGGACGGGUGAGUAAUGUCUGGGAAACUGCCUGAUGGAGGGGGAUAACUACUGGAAACGGUAGCUAAUACCGCAUGACCUCGCAAGAGCAAAGUGGGGGACCUUCGGGCCUCACGCCAUCGGAUGUGCCCAGAUGGGAUUAGCUAGUAGGUGGGGUAAUGGCUCACCUAGGCGACGAUCCCUAGCUGGUCUGAGAGGAUGACCAGCCACACUGGAACUGAGACACGGUCCAGACUCCUACGGGAGGCAGCAGUGGGGAAUAUUGCACAAUGGGCGCAAGCCUGAUGCAGCCAUGCCGCGUGUGUGAAGAAGGCCUUAGGGUUGUAAAGCACUUUCAGCGAGGAGGAAGGCGUUGUAGUUAAUAGCUGCAACGAUUGACGUUACUCGCAGAAGAAGCACCGGCUAACUCCGUGCCAGCAGCCGCGGUAAUACGGAGGGUGCAAGCGUUAAUCGGAAUUACUGGGCGUAAAGCGCACGCAGGCGGUUUGUUAAGUCAGAUGUGAAAUCCCCGAGCUUAACUUGGGAACUGCAUUUGAAACUGGCAAGCUAGAGUCUUGUAGAGGGGGGUAGAAUUCCAGGUGUAGCGGUGAAAUGCGUAGAGAUCUGGAGGAAUACCGGUGGCGAAGGCGGCCCCCUGGACAAAGACUGACGCUCAGGUGCGAAAGCGUGGGGAGCAAAC